Acanthosepion pharaonis is the source of this 102-nucleotide non-coding RNA. Lineage: Eukaryota; Metazoa; Mollusca; Cephalopoda; Sepiida; Sepiidae. The record is from the annotation of a GenBank genome assembly.
ACUUUGAAACACCAGUUCUCUUAUGAUCACCAAAGUUAAGCAAUAUUGAACCUGGUCAAUAUCCAGAUGGGUAACCACUUGGGAAUUCUAGGUGCUGCAAGC